Molecule: ribosomal RNA, 253 nt
Filed under: uncultured bacterium
Lineage: Bacteria
Description: partial 16S ribosomal RNA
Rfam family: Bacterial small subunit ribosomal RNA
Source: RNAcentral
UACGGAGGAUGCAAGCGUUAUCCGGAUUUAUUGGGUUUAAAGGGUGCGUAGGCGGGAUAAUAAGUCAGUGGUGAAAGCCUGUAGCUUAACUAUAGAAAUGCCAUUGAUACUGUUGUUCUUGAGUACAGUUGAGGUAGGCGGAAUGUGUAAUGUAGCGGUGAAAUGCUUAGAUAUUACACAGAACACCGAUUGCGAAGGCAGCUUACUAAGCUGGUACUGACGCUGAGGCACGAAAGCGUGGGGAGCAAACAGG